RNAcentral lists this ribosomal RNA (208 nucleotides) under uncultured bacterium. RNAcentral describes it as "partial 16S ribosomal RNA". It matches the Rfam family "Bacterial small subunit ribosomal RNA", at positions 568 to 774 of the family's 1533-position model. The record is from RNAcentral.
UGCGUAGGUGGGUUGGUAAGUCAGUGGUGAAAUCCCCGAGCUUAACUUGGGAACUGCCAUUGAUACUAUCAGUCUUGAAUACCGUGGAGGUCAGCGGAAUAUGUCAUGUAGCGGUGAAAUGCUUAGAUAUGACAUAGAACACCAAUUGCGAAGGCAGCUGGCUACACGAAUAUUGACACUGAGGCACGAAAGCGGUGGGGAUCAAACA